Molecule: ribosomal RNA, 684 nt
Filed under: uncultured bacterium
Lineage: Bacteria
Description: bacterial SSU rRNA
Rfam family: Bacterial small subunit ribosomal RNA
Source: RNAcentral
AUGAAUGUUAGUCGUUGGUUCUCUAGUAGAAUCAGUGAUGCAGUUAACACAUUAAACAUUCCGCCUGGGGAGUACGGUCGCAAGAUUAAAACUCAAAGGAAUAGACGGGGACCCGCACAAGUGGUGGAGCAUGUGGUUUAAUUCGAAGAUACGCGAAGAACCUUACCUAGCCUUGACAUUGAGAGAACACCGUAGAGAUACAGUGGUGCCCUUUUGGGAGCUUGAAAACAGGUGCUGCACGGCUGUCGUCAGCUCGUGUCGUGAGAUGUUGGGUUAAGUCCCGCAACGAGCGCAACCCUCGUGUUUAGUUGCUAACAGUUAGGCUGAGCACUCUAGACAGACUGCCUCCGCAAGGAGGAGGAAGGUGAGGACGACGUCAAGUCAUCAUGGUCCUUACGGCCAGGGCGACACACGUGCUACAAUGGGUAGGACAAUGAGAGGCGAUACCGCGAGGUGGAGCAAAUCUAUAAACCUACUCUCAGUUCGGAUUGUAGUCUGCAACUCGACUACAUGAAGCUGGAAUCACUAGUAAUCGUAGAUCAGUCAUGCUACGGUGAAUACGUUCCCGGGUCUUGUACUCACCGCCCGUCACACCAUGGGAGUUGAGUUCACCCGAAGCGGGGAAGCUAAACUGGCUACCUGCCACGGUGGGCUCAGCGACUGGGGUGAAGUCGUAACAAGGUA